UCACUCCGAGUCAGAUGCAAACCAAGUGUCCUGAGUCGAGUCAAAUUUCUCAGUUCAGCAAUCCGACAGCCAUCUAAUUGGUUUGUUCUAGCAGGUCUAAACCCCAACAAAACUUCAAGGUUUGAAAGCCUUCCCAAGCCUUUUGGCAAGUACUCAAGUGAGCCACAGUGGCUUACAUCUAAGACUCUGAGCUUCUUAAAGGUCAUGAGAUAAGGAGGCAUCAUUUUGAGAUUCUGACAAUAGCUCACAUCCAAAACCUGAAGGUUGUUAAGUCUCUCUAGUGAAGGAGGGAGUUGGAUCAACGGAUGGGUAUUGCUUAAGCUAAGGCAUGUUAAAUGCUGAAGGCAACCAAUCUUAUGUAGGAGAACUGUGAGAGGCACUUCAAAGAUAGACUUGCAAAGAUCUAAAACUCUCAGGUAUCUACACUCAUUAAACUUGUUUGCAACGCUUGAUACAAUCUUGUUCACUUCACCAGUCUUGGUUGUGGACAACAAUGCUCGUAACUUUCGAUUGGCAGCCAGUUUCUUAUGAUCCAUAUUGCUAUCAAUCCCCAGAUGACGACAGCCUAUGCCAUUAAGUCUAAAGAAUGCAUCAUCUUCAGCCAUCUUGAUCACCAAAUCACGAACCAUAUCAUGAAUCUUGCAAGUGUAGAUAAUUCCAUUGUAAGUCUUGUCAACUACUUCCACCAAACAUCGAUUUGUUAACCCCGAGAAACAACCCUCCCCAGCUUCAAUUGCUGAUCUGCCAUUUCUCACGGGGACAAAUCCUUCUCCCAUCCACCAAUGAACUAACUGUUCCUUUGCUAUCACACAAUCCUCUGGGUAAAGAGAGAAACUGAGAAAACAAGACUUCAGGUGAGUAGGGAGCUCAUCGUAGCUCAAUUGUAAAGAAGCCAUCACAGAGUCAUCAUUUUCUGCCAAUUCAUCCCGAAAGUUCUUUGCAAUUCGCCUCCACUCAUUGUAAUGUGAUUUAUAAAGCAAAAGUCCUCCAAUUGCUUUAAUGGCCAAAGGAAGACCCUUACAUUUAGAUACAAUCUCCUUUCCAACCUGUUCUAGCUCAGGAUACCUGCAGUCACCUCCACUUGCUGCGAAAGCAAUCUUCCGAAAUAGCAACCAGCUAUCAUCCUCACUAAGGAACUUAGGUCUAUGGAUUCUUGCUUCGCUCACUCCCAUCAUUAUUGCAACUUCCUUGAUCCUUGUGGUGAUGAUAAUACAGCUUCCGUUUCCCUUGGGCAAGCCCUCAAAGAUUCUACGCCACCAAUUGACAUCAGAGUUCCAUACAUCAUCCAUAACAAUCAAGAACCUUUUACCUAAAAGAUAUUGGUUUAUUUUCUUCAACAAUUCACCUCGGUCAUCUCCUACGCUUGCAUCUCCCAAGUUCCUCAGCAUGCUUCUCAUGAUUUGUGCUUCAUCAAGUGUCUGAGAGACAGACACCCACAUUCUUCUUUCAAAAUGGUCUUCCAUUUCUCUGUCAUUAAAGACCUUUUGAGCAAUUGUGGUCUUGCCCAAUCCGCCCAUACCAACAACACCAAUUGAUAAUAUGCCAUGAUCUGCUUCAAAAAGCCAAUCCUUCNNNNGUCACCUUCUAAUCCAACCACUUGAGUAUGAUCAUAUACAGGAGAGCUCCAUCUUGGGUCAUUGUGCACAUCAAUUCUAGCCAUUCCGUUGCUAGUUGACAGACCAAGAUAUGAAAGGUCUUGCUUAAUUUUAGUGAUAUUCUCAUUUAUUUCCCUAAGUCGCUUUCCAGUUUUAUAUUGAAACUGAAGUUUUGGAGGAUGGAUACAACGUAGCCAGCCAUUAGAAAAUGAGUCAUCUCUUGAUUGAAGUUGGCAGUCUGCUAGUAUGUCUUCAGCUUCAUAUAUCAACUCUCGUAAAUUGCCCAUUAUAACGUGCAGAGUUUGUUCCUUCCUUUUUCGUUUGUCUGCAUCUUUGAGGACACUUUGCAUUAAUUCGAGCUCCUUCUGCAAGUUCUCAAAUUGAUCCCUAAAUUCAUUCACUAUGCGGCCCUCCUCUACUAGAGUAUCCA
Molecule: unclassified non-coding RNA, 2025 nt
Filed under: Hevea brasiliensis (rubber tree)
Lineage: Eukaryota; Viridiplantae; Streptophyta; Magnoliopsida; Malpighiales; Euphorbiaceae
Source: RNAcentral